This 501-nucleotide ribosomal RNA is filed under the name uncultured bacterium. Its description in RNAcentral is "partial 16S ribosomal RNA". It matches the Rfam family "Bacterial small subunit ribosomal RNA", at positions 30 to 523 of the family's 1533-position model. The record is from RNAcentral.
AUUGAACGCUGGCGGCAGGCUUAACACAUGCAAGUCGAGCGGAGAUGAGGUGCUUGCACCUUAUCUUAGCGGCGGACGGGUGAGUAAUGCUUAGGAAUCUGCCGAUUAGUGGGGGACAACAUUCCGAAAGGAAUGCUAAUACCGCAUACGUCCUACGGGAGAAAGCAGGGGAUCUUCGGACCUUGCGCUAAUAGAUGAGCCUAAGUCGGAUUAGCAAGUUGGUGGGGUAAAGGCCUACCAAGGCGACGAUCUGUAGCGGGUCUGAGAGGAUGAUCCGCCACACUGGGACUGAGACACGGCCCAGACUCCUACGGGAGGCAGCAGUGGGGAAUAUUGGACAAUGGGGGGAACCCUGAUCCAGCCAUGCCGCGUGUGUGAAGAAGGCCUUAUGGUUGUAAAGCACUUUAAGCGAGGAGGAGGCUACUGAGACUAAUACUCUUGGAUAGUGGACGUUACUCGCAGAAUAAGCACCGGCUAACUCUGUGCCAGCCGCCGCAGUAA